Molecule: long non-coding RNA, 362 nt
Organism: Orcinus orca (killer whale)
Lineage: Eukaryota; Metazoa; Chordata; Mammalia; Artiodactyla; Delphinidae
Exons: 3
Source: RefSeq, a predicted model, not a curated record
GCAGGGAGGUGGCUGGAGCAGAACAAGCAAGGGAGAGCAGGAGGGUGCAGCAGAGGACAGGAGUGUCGCACCAAGGCCACUGAUGGGCUCUGACUCAGAGAUGAGGAAGGGAGCAGGUGAGCAGCCGGGGCAGGUGAGCAGCCGGGGCAGGUGAGGAGCCGGGGCAGGUGAGGUGCCGGGGCAGGUGAGGAGCCGGGGCAGGUGAGCAGCCGGGGCAGGUGAGGUGCCGGGGCAGGUGAGGAGCCGGGGCAGGUGAGGUGCCGGGGCAGGUGAGCAGCCGGGGCAGGUGAGGUGCUGCACAUGCACAUCUGGCUCUGCCUGGCGCCCGGCCCCAGCGUGUGACAGUGGGGGGUGGGGGCGGG